UAGGGAAUCUUCCCACAAUGGGCGAAAGCCUGAUGGAGCAACGCCGCGUGUGUGAUGAAGGGUUCCGGCUCGUAAAACACUGUUGUAAGAGAAGAAUGACAUUGAGAGUAACUGUUCAAUGUGUGACGGUAUCUUACCAGAAAGGAACGGCUAAAUACGUACCAG
RNAcentral lists this ribosomal RNA (165 nucleotides) under uncultured bacterium. Its description in RNAcentral is "partial 16S rRNA". It matches the Rfam family "Bacterial small subunit ribosomal RNA", at positions 355 to 511 of the family's 1533-position model. The record is from RNAcentral.